AUGCCCAGAUCAUGUUGAAACACCAGUCCUCAUACUAUCAUCGAAGUUAAGCAAUGUCAGGCCUGGUCAGUAGCUAGAUGGGUGACCACUUGGGAAUACUAGGUGCUGUAAG
This is a non-coding RNA of Acanthosepion pharaonis, 112 nucleotides long. NCBI's taxonomy places the organism in Eukaryota, Metazoa, Mollusca, Cephalopoda, Sepiida, Sepiidae. The record is from the annotation of a GenBank genome assembly.